RNAcentral lists this unclassified non-coding RNA (156 nucleotides) under uncultured Phlogicylindrium. Its description in RNAcentral is "sequence contains ITS1". The record is from RNAcentral. Lineage: Eukaryota; Fungi; Ascomycota; Sordariomycetes.
CAGAGUCGUAAAACACUCCCAAACCCAUGUGAACUUACCUUUGUUGCCUCGGCAGGUCCUACCCUGUAGCUACCCUGUAGCUACCCGGUAGCCUGCCGGUGGACCAUUCAACUCUUGUUAUUUUAUGGAAAUCUGAGCGUCUUAUUUAAUAAGUCA